GCUGGCGGCACGCUUAACACAUGCAAGUCGAACGAGAUCUUCGGAUCUAGUGGCAGACGGGUGAGUAACGCGUGGGAACCUGCCCAGUAGUAGAGAAUAACUUGGGGAAACUUAAGCUAAUACUUUAUACGUCCUUCGGGAGAAAGCUUUAUGCGCUAUUGGAUGGGCCCGCGUUAGAUUAGUUUGUUGGUGAGGUAAUGGCUCACCAAGGCGACGAUCUAUAGCUGGUCUGAGAGGAUGAUCAGCCACACUGGGACUGAGACACGGCCCAGACUCCUACGGGAGGCAGCAGUGGGGAAUAUUGGACAAUGGGGGCAACCCUGAUCCAGCGAUGCCGCGUGAGUGAUGAAGGCCCUAGGGUUGUAAAACUCUUUCGUCAGGGAAGAUAAUGACGGUACCUGAAGAAGAAGAUCCGGCUAACUCCGUGCCAGCAGCCGCGGUAAUACGGAGGGGUCUAGCGUUAUUCGGAAUUACUGGGCGUAAAGCGAGCGUAGGCGGAUUUGUAAGUUGGAGGUGAAAUCCCAGAGCUUAACUCUGGAACUGCCUUCAAAACUACAUUUCUUGAGUUUGGUAGAGGAGAGUGGAAUUCCUAGUGUAGAGGUGAAAUUCGUAGAUAUUAGGAGGAACACCAGUGGCGAAGGCGACUCUCUGGGCCAAUACUGACGCUGAGGUUCGAAAGCAUGGGUAGCGAACAGGAUUAGAUACCCUGGUAGUCCAUGCAGUAAACGAUGAGUGCUAGAUGUUGGGAAUUUAAAUUUCCAGUAUCGCAGUUAACGCGUUAAGCACUCCGCCU
RNAcentral lists this ribosomal RNA (793 nucleotides) under uncultured Alphaproteobacteria bacterium. RNAcentral describes it as "bacterial SSU rRNA". It matches the Rfam family "Bacterial small subunit ribosomal RNA", at positions 35 to 874 of the family's 1533-position model. Lineage: Bacteria; Pseudomonadati; Pseudomonadota; Alphaproteobacteria. The record is from RNAcentral.